This 372-nucleotide ribosomal RNA is filed under the name Pelobates cultripes (western spadefoot toad). It matches the Rfam family "Eukaryotic small subunit ribosomal RNA", at positions 123 to 471 of the family's 1831-position model. The record is from RNAcentral. Lineage: Eukaryota; Metazoa; Chordata; Amphibia; Anura; Pelobatidae.
GGAGGAGGAGCCAACACUGUUUUAUAUAUAUAUAUAUAUAUAUAUAUAUUAAUUGGGGUAGCCCCCAAAAUAUUGGGACAUAUAAAAAAAGACAACUCUGUUGCGCAGAGUAGUUGCUGACAUUAUAGUUGCACAGGCACUUUGUUGACUCUAGAGAGCCUCGGUCCAAUCGCAUAUCCCCGUGGCAGCGACUUUGCAUGCGGAUGUCAUCCAUAUCAACUUUCGAUGCCAGUUUCUGCGCCUACCAUGGUGACCACGGGUAACGGGGAAUCAGGGUUCCAUUCCGUACAGGGACCCUGACAAACGGCUACCACAUGCAAGGAAGGUAGCAGGCACGCAAAUGACCCACUACCGACACGUGAAGGUAGUGAC